Molecule: unclassified non-coding RNA, 341 nt
Filed under: soil metagenome
Description: partial contains 5.8S ribosomal RNA, internal transcribed spacer 2, and large subunit ribosomal RNA
Rfam family: 5.8S ribosomal RNA (bases 1-120)
Source: RNAcentral
GAUGAAGAACGCAGCGAAAUGCGAUAAGUAGUGUGAAUUGCAGAAUUCAGUGAAUCAUCGAAUCUUUGAACGCACAUUGCGCCCUUUGGUAUUCCAAAGGGCAUGCCUGUUCGAGCGUCAUUUGUACCCUCAAGCUUUGCUUGGUGUUGGGCGUCUUGUCUCUAGCUUUGCUGGAGACUCGCCUUAAAGUAAUUGGCAGCCGGCCUACUGGUUUCGGAGCGCAGCACAAGUCGCACUCUCUAUCAGCAAAGGUCUAGCAUCCAUUAAGCCUUUUUUUCAACUUUUGACCUCGGAUCAGGUAGGGAUACCCGCUGAGCUUAAGCAUAUCAAUAAGCGGAGGA